Molecule: small RNA, 181 nt
Filed under: Streptomyces roseochromogenus
Lineage: Bacteria; Bacillati; Actinomycetota; Actinomycetes; Kitasatosporales; Streptomycetaceae
Description: Streptomyces roseochromogenes c-di-AMP sequence
Rfam family: c-di-AMP riboswitch aptamer (ydaO/yuaA leader)
About the family: This family represents a conserved RNA structure found upstream of the ydaO and yuaA genes in Bacillus subtilis and related genes in other bacteria.
Source: RNAcentral
GUAACCCACUCGACGAACUGAUUCAUACGGCAGGAGCGGGGGACCCAGGUAAGUCGCCGGACCGGAACGGCACACGUCGCACCGGAACGGCUAGGGGUGAAGCCGUGCCUUUCCCGAGGCACGGCCGGGCACCUCCCCGCCCGAACCCGACAGCUCACCUCGCAGGCGUCGGAGAGGACUU